GUGGGGAAUAUUGGACAAUGGGCGAAAGCCUGAUCCAGCCAUGCCGCGUGCAGGAUGAAGGCCUUCGGGUUGUAAACUGCUUUUGUACGGAACGAAAAGACUCCUUCUAAUAAAGGGGGUCCAUGACGGUACCGUAAGAAUAAGCACCGGCUAACUACGUGCCAGCAGCCGCGGUAAUACGUAGGGUGCAAGCGUUAAUCGGAAUUACUGGGCGUAAAGCGUGCGCAGGCGGUUAUAUAAGACAGAUGUGAAAUCCCCGGGCUCAACCUGGGAACUGCAUUUGUGACUGUAUAGCUAGAGUACGGUAGAGGGGGAUGGAAUUCCGCGUGUAGCAGUGAAAUGCGUAGAUAUGCGGAGGAACACCGAUGGCGAAGGCAAUCCCCUGGACCUGUACUGACGCUCAUGCACGAAAGCGUGGGGAGCAAACAGGAUUAGAAACCCCGGUAGUCC
This 450-nucleotide ribosomal RNA is filed under the name uncultured bacterium. Its description in RNAcentral is "partial 16S ribosomal RNA". It matches the Rfam family "Bacterial small subunit ribosomal RNA", at positions 354 to 796 of the family's 1533-position model. The record is from RNAcentral.